CAGUAGGGAAUCUUCCGCAAUGGACGAAAGUCUGACGGAGCAACGCCGCGUGAGUGAUGAAGGUUUUCGGAUCGUAAAGCUCUGUUGUUAGGGAAGAACAAGUGCCGUUCAAAUAGGGCGGCACCUUGACGGUACCUAACCAGAAAGCCACGGCUAACUACGUGCCAGCAGCCGCGGUAAUACGUAGGUGGCAAGCGUUGUCCGGAAUUAUUGGGCGUAAAGGGCUCGCAGGCGGUUUCUUAAGUCUGAUGUGAAAGCCCCCGGCUCAACCGGGGAGGGUCAUUGGAAACUGGGGAACUUGAGUGCAGAAGAGGAGAGUGGAAUUCCACGUGUAGCGGUGAAAUGCGUAGAGAUGUGGAGGAACACCAGUGGCGAAGGCGACUCUCUGGUCUGUAACUGACGCUGAGGAGCGAAAGCGUGGGGAGCGAACAGGAUUAGAUACCCUGGUAGUCCACGCCGUAAACGAUGAGUGCUAAGUGUUAGGGGGUUUCCGCCCCUUAGUGCUGCAGCUAACGCAUUAAGCACUCCGCCUGGGGAGUACGGUCGCAAGACUGAAACUCAAAGGAAUUGACGGGGGCCCGCACAAGCGGUGGAGCAUGUGGUUUAAUUCGAAGCAACGCGAAGAACCUUACCAGGUCUUGACAUCCUCUGACAAUCCUAGAGAUAGGACGUCCCCUUCGGGGGCAGAGUGACAGGUGGUGCAUGGUUGUCGUCAGCUCGUGUCGUGAGAUGUUGGGUUAAGUCCCGCAACGAGCGCAACCCUUGAUCUUAGUUGCCAGCAUUCAGUUGGGCACUCUAAGGUGACUGCCGGUGACAAACCGGAGGAAGGUGGGGAUGACGUCAAAUCAUCAUGCCCCUUAUGAACUGGGCUACACACGUGCUACAAUGGACAGAAACAAAGGGCCAGGCGAAACCGCCUAAGU
RNAcentral lists this ribosomal RNA (923 nucleotides) under Bacillus velezensis. RNAcentral's name for it is "bacterial SSU rRNA". It matches the Rfam family "Bacterial small subunit ribosomal RNA", at positions 352 to 1272 of the family's 1533-position model. Lineage: Bacteria; Bacillati; Bacillota; Bacilli; Caryophanales; Bacillaceae. The record is from RNAcentral.